Molecule: ribosomal RNA, 236 nt
Filed under: uncultured Actinomycetales bacterium
Lineage: Bacteria; Bacillati; Actinomycetota; Actinomycetes; Actinomycetales
Description: partial 16S ribosomal RNA
Rfam family: Bacterial small subunit ribosomal RNA
Source: RNAcentral
UGGCGAACGGGUGAGUAACACGUGGGUAAUCUGCCCUGCACUCUGGGAUAAGCCUGGGAAACUGGGUCUAAUACUGGAUAUGACCUUUCUCCUUAUGGGGGUUGGUGGAAAGUUUUUCGGUGUAGGAUGAGCCCGCGGCCUAUCAGCUUGUUGGUGGGGUGAUGGCCUACCAAGGCGACGACGGGUAGCCGGCCUGAGAGGGUGAUCGGCCACAUUGGGACUGAGAUACGGCCCAG